UUUAUUGUUCAUGUGUACAAUUGGAAAAAAUAUUCUUCAAUCCAAUCAUGAUCAGCACCAAGCUAUGAUUGCUAUGGAGUUUCAUUUAAAUCAGAGAAAAGGGGGAGAUGUAGAGAGACCCCCUGAAACUAUUGCUAUGGAAUGAAAGAUGAAAUGCUCCUGAUUAUUAUAAAUACAAAAUUGCAUGCAGGAUGGUGUAAAGACAACGCCAGGUUGGGCUGCCAGAAUGAGCCGACAGCACAUGAUGUGCUUCCCCCUGCAGAGAGUCUAAGAAUGGACGUGCAGUCAGGGAGGUUUCACAUCACCAAGAUUCCUAUCCCAGAAAAGCAGAUGUUCAUAGCACUGGCAACCCUUGUGGAGAGCCUAUAAAUGGAUGCAUGAGGGGUGCCUGUUUAUAUGCCCUUAUCUUGCCAUGGCUCUUUUAAGCCUCUUUAGGGUUAAGGCAUACUCCCUUCUGAGAAUUUCUGGUCUAACUGGUUGUCUAGCUUCAUGUCCUGUUUCUUUGAUUGCUUGUAACCAGAUUUUGCUGCCACUGUUACUGCUGAUUAGUAUCUUGCUAAUCAUAGGUUAUGGAAAGACUGUAUUUCUGUUUUAAGGCUCUGUUAGAAAUUACUGAUGCACACACUAUAUUGUAAAUUCUUAUCUCUGUAUACUGUACUUCUGCAUACAGAUAUUAUGUUUAAGAAUUACUCUAUCCCCAUGUGACCAUUUCACCUCAUAAUCAAAUGACCCUAAAUCCCUCACUAACCUACCCCCGCCCUCACUAAACUUAAUAAUAAAUGCUGGCAUAUCCAGUGCAUUGGUGGCAUCGCAGGACCAGAAGGCGGUGACCCCCCUGGACCCAGCUUUCACUAUCUUGUAUGUGUCUAUUAUUUCUAGACCUGCUGAUCUGCCUGGGAACAAAGAAAGAGUCCCAUUGCAUUGCGGGUUGCUGGCCAGAUCCCGCAAUACAGUACUGCUUUAGAAACAAAGUAACAGAACAAAAAUAAAAGGGAAUAGAGUUCUCCACUUCUGUAUAGUGGGUGGUGGGCAGGGGAACACUGAGAUCUGUAGAGAAGAGAGGCUCCUUCAUUGCAUGUAUAGCGGGGUGUCAGUGCCCCAGAGAAAGCAAUGGUUUCCAGAUGGAAGCUGAUGGACAGAUGCUGGAAGCAUUGGCAGAGCAUCUUCAUGGAGGAAGCAAAGAACUUUUGUGGACACAAAAAAGAUAAGGGGUUUCACCUUGUUGCCCAAGCUGGUCUUGAAGUUCUGGGCUCAAGCGAUCUGCCUGCAUUAGCCUCCUAAAGUUCUGGGAUUACCAACAUGAGCUACCAUGCCUGGGUCAAAGCCAUUCUCUGAGCUGAAGAAAAACUACAAAAGAUAGAAACUCAGAUGUGCAGGAAAGAAUAUAGACACCAAAAAAGGAGUGCAAUUUUGACCAAUUACUUUUUACUGGAAGAACUUCAAGAAUAGCUAUGAAGCAUAUGAAGAGGUCUUAUUCCGAGUGAUCCUGAUGCUAGUCAAGGAAGGGAAUGACUGGUUAGAAUCAAUGCCCACACCUGAGAAUUGUGCUUGAGAUAGAUUCUCCUGAAGACACAGGGCUUCACAGGAAGGAGAGAUAAUUAUUGGAUGGAAAACAGAACUGAGAAGAGAAAUCACUUGUGUCCCAGCACCAUUUGUUGAAAAGGAUAUUCUUUCCCUGUUGAAAUAAUGUCUUGGCACCCAAACUGAAAAUGAAUUCACCUCAGGUCAUAUUCAAUCUUUUAAAAUUUCUCUUAGAAGAAGAUAGGGGGUGUGAGUGGAAGAGUAAAGAAAAAUUACAUCAUACAAAAAAUUGGAAUAAGGAAGAGGUGAUAAAAGAAAAUGACCUUGGAAAUCCAUCUACAAAGACCCAAGGAAAAGUAUGGCUAAUUGCUUAUGAAAACACUCAAAUAAACAGGAGCACCCUGAUGUGAGCUCAUCUCUAGUUCAAUAGAUACCAGGAACACAGCUCAGGCCAAUUGAAAAUACAAUCUCUGGCAGUCUGGCCCAAGAAUGGGAUUUUAAGCACCUCUCCAGGUGACUAUAAUGUGCAUUCUGAGUUUGGAACCACUGCUUUAGAUGUUAUAAAUCCAUUUGCAGCUAGGAUCCAAAGUCAAGAAACUUGGGCUUAAUGUGGGGAAAAACAGAAGACUUUGAAGGAAACAUUGACAAUUUGUCAUCUGCGUAACUUCUGUGACACUGUGCAAUCUCCACGUGGCUUAUCUCCAUAAUAUCAUUUCAUGCUUUUCUCCUGCCCCUUUACUGUUGUAUAGUCACUUUAAUUCUCAAUUCAUCAAACAUGGCAAGUGCUAUCAUGCCUCAAGGAUUUCACACAUAUUAGUCCCAGUUCCUACAAUGCACUCUUCCCUACUCCUUGCCUGACUAGUUUGACAAUUUAUUAUUGUGCCAAUUUAGAUAAGUGGUAAUCACAUUUCCCAGAAUUCUCUUCCCUGCCUCAGUUCCAAAUUAGUAGUGAAUAUAAGAGAUAUUUGAAAUGAGAUCUGAAAGGCAGAGAGGAGUAACAGAUAUAUUAUUUUCACAUGUGGAAAGUUGGUUCAAGGGAACUAUGAUGCAGGUACCCUUGUGAUUCACACAGUUUUGUUCUCAUUGGCUAGCUCAUCUUGUUAGCAAGGAACAACAGUUGAGCCUAUAGCUCCUUCAAGAACUACCACAUCCUCCUUUGAUUUCUUCAACUCCUGAACUAUGUACAUGUGGAUCUCCAUGACAAAGGUCCUAAUUUAUCCUGAAGUUCAUUUGAAUCAUUGAGGUUGAUAGCCUGGAGGGGGUGAGAUACUGGUGCAAGUUCUAGUCCGUUCUUGCCUGUUUCAGGCUCUCCUUGUUCUCCACACUUCACACCCAUGUACCCUUCCCAAAUUCCUGUUCUGCUGACUUCAACCUCCAGCACCAGAUGCCAACAUGGAAGCCUUAUAUAGGCUAUUUAAUCAUCCCCCACCAUCAUGUGAGCUCAAAUUCCUAUAAGAAAUCCCUAUAUAUCACUCCUAGUGAUUCUAUUUCUUCAAACAAAUUCUGACUGAUAGAUCUAGCUUCUCUUUCUCCUUUAGGGUUUAAAUUAAAUAUCCCUCCUCAGAGGCCUUCCCAGAGAACAUUGUCUAGAAUAUACCCCUCUCUUCACUUCCCUAGUUACAUUCUAUCUCAGCCUCUUGUUUAUUUUUUUCCAAGAAGUUAUCAUAUUUAUUUAUUUAUUAGUGUUUGCUUAUUUGUUGUCUAUCUCCCUCACUACAAUAUAGAUUCCAUAGGGGAAGGAGUCAUCACCAUCCUCUUUAUCACUUCAUCUCCAAUGUCUGGCACAAUUCCUGAUACAUAGUGAAUGUUCCAGAAACAUUUUUGUAUACAUGAAAUUAAUGAAAAAUAAAUAGACAUACAUUUUGGAGAGGUAGCUUUGAGAGCCUUGUGAACAAAUAAUUCAAGAAGAGACUUGUGACUGGCUAACCAGAUAGGGAACUAGUGAAAGUGAUAAAGGCCUGAAAUAGAUCAGUGUAAAAAAAUGAGGGGGAAAGAUGUUUUUAAAUGGACCAUAAAAGGCUAGAUAGAAGAAUUUGGCUGCUCUAUGAAGAAGUUUAUUGGAAAGAAGGAAGAAUCAAGAUGACAGAUUUCUCACAGGUUACCAGGGGAAUGGUGAUGCUGCAAUAGAUUAAAGACAAAGAACAAGUUUUAAGGAGUAAGACAGUGAGUUUGAAGUUUUCAAUUCAAAUGAAAAUUUCUGGAUAAAAGUCAGGAACUGUGACACACUUAGAUGUAUCAAAUAGUG
This 3766-nucleotide long non-coding RNA is filed under the name Homo sapiens (human). RNAcentral's name for it is "HSALNT0063615". The record is from RNAcentral. Lineage: Eukaryota; Metazoa; Chordata; Mammalia; Primates; Hominidae.